UCGGGGAGCAGAGCUGUGGAGCUGUGGAGGUGACGGCUGUCUGAGGCGGAGCGUCUGCCUCUGCUUUUCAGGCCUGUUUCUGCUGACUGCUGCAGGUGUGUGUGUGCUGCUGCUGUCUGCUCUGACCGUUUCUACAGGUGAGUUGAAGGUAACGGGAACUCUGAGGUGAUGUAGGUG
Pundamilia nyererei is the source of this 177-nucleotide long non-coding RNA. RefSeq lists it as uncharacterized. The transcript has 3 exons. NCBI's taxonomy places the organism in Eukaryota, Metazoa, Chordata, Actinopteri, Cichliformes, Cichlidae. The record is from RefSeq and is a predicted model, not a curated record.